CCCUUGAGUUUGAUCAUGGCUCAGAACGAACGCUGGCGGCAGGCCUAACACAUGCAAGUCGAGCGAAGCCUUCGGGUUUAGCGGCGGACGGGUGAGUAACGCGUGGGAAUAUGCCCUUUGGUACGGAACAGUCCCGGGAAACUGGGUUUAAUACCGUAUGUGGUCCUUCGUAGUGGAUACGGGGGACGAAAGAUUUAUCGCCAAAGGAUUAGCCCGCGUUGGAUUAGGUAGUUGGUGGGGUAACGGCCUACCAAGCCGACGAUCCAUAGCUGGUUUGAGAGGAUGAUCAGCCACACUGGGACUGAGACACGGCCCAGACUCCUACGGGAGGCAGCAGUGGGGAAUCUUAGACAAUGGGGGCAACCCUGAUCUAGCCAUGCCGCGUGAGUGAUGAAGGCCUUAGGGUUGUAAAGCUCUUUCAGCUGGGAAGAUAAUGACGGUACCAGCAGAAGAAGCCCCGGCUAACUCCGUGCCAGCAGCCGCGGUAAUACGGAGGGGGCUAGCGUUGUUCGGAAUUACUGGGCGUAAAGCGCAUGUAGGCGGACCAGAAAGUUGGGGGUGAAAUCCCGGGGCUCAACCCCGGAACGGCCUUCAAAACUAUUGGUCUGGAGUUCGAGAGAGGUGAGUGGAAUUCCGAGUGUAGAGGUGAAAUUCGUAGAUAUUCGGAGGAACACCAGUGGCGAAGGC
RNAcentral lists this ribosomal RNA (687 nucleotides) under uncultured bacterium. Its description in RNAcentral is "bacterial SSU rRNA". It matches the Rfam family "Bacterial small subunit ribosomal RNA", at positions 1 to 722 of the family's 1533-position model. The record is from RNAcentral.